AUUGCCCCAGUAACGGCGAGUGAAGCGGCAACAGCUCAAAUUUGAAAUCUGGCCCUCGGGGCCCGAGUUGUAAUUUGCAGAGGAUGCUUUUGGCGCGGUGCCUUCUAAGUUCCCUGGAACGGGACGCCAUAGAGGGUGAGAGACCCGUACGGUUGGACACCAAGCCUUUGUAAAGCUCCUUCGACGAGUCGAGUAGUUUGGGAAUGCUGCUCUAAAUGGGAGGUAUAUUUCUUCUAAAGCUAAAUACCGGCCAGAGACCGAUAGCGCACAAGUAGAGUGAUCGAAAGAUGAAAAGCACUUUGAAAAGAGGGUUAAACAGCACGUGAAAUUGUUAAAAGGGAAGCGCUUGUGACCAGACUUGCGCCCGGUGAAUCACCCAGCUCUCGCGGCUGGGGCACUUUGCCGGCUCAGGCCAGCAUCAGCUCGCUGUCGGGGACAAAAGCUUCGGGAACGUGGCUCUCUUCGGGGAGUGUUAUAGCCCGUUGCACAAUACCCUUCGGCGGGCUGAGGUACGCGCUCCGCAAGGAUGCUGGCGUAAUGGUCAUCAGCGACCCGUCUUGAAACACGGACCAAGGAGUCAACCUUAUGUGCGAGUGUUCGGGUGUCAAACCCCUACGCGUAAUGAAAGUGAACGCAGGUGAGAGCUUCGGCGCAUCAUCGACCGAUCCUGAUGUUCUCGGAUGGAUUUGAGUAAGAGCAUAUAGGGUUGGACCCGAAAGAAGGUGAACUAUGCGUGUAUAGGGUGAAGCCAGAGGAAACUCUGGUGGAGGCUCGCAGCGGUUCUGACGUGCAAAUCGAUCGUCAAAUAUGCGCAUGGGGGCGAAAGACUAAUCGAACCUUCUAGUAGCUGGUUUCCGCCGAAGUUUCCCUCAGGAUAGCAGUGUUGAGCUCAGUUUUAUGAGGUAAAGCGAAUGAUUAGGGACUCGGGGGCGCUAUAUUGCCUUCAUCCAUUCUCAAACUUUAAAUAUGUAAGAAGCCCUUGUUACUUAGUUGAACGUGGGCAUUCGAAUGUAUCAACACUAGUGGGCCAUUUUUGGUAAGCAGAACUGGCGAUGCGGGAUGAACCGAACGCGAGGUUAAGGUGCCAGAGUAGACGCUCAUCAGACACCACAAAAGGUGUUAGUACAUCUUGACAGCAGGACGGUGGCCAUGGAAGUCGGAAUCCGCUAAGGACUGUGUAACAACUCACCUGCCGAAUGUACUAGCCCUGAAAA
RNAcentral lists this ribosomal RNA (1214 nucleotides) under Colletotrichum crassipes. Its description in RNAcentral is "eukaryotic LSU rRNA". It matches the Rfam family "Eukaryotic large subunit ribosomal RNA", at positions 74 to 1318 of the family's 3401-position model. Lineage: Eukaryota; Fungi; Ascomycota; Sordariomycetes; Glomerellales; Glomerellaceae. The record is from RNAcentral.